Long non-coding RNA from Panthera uncia (snow leopard), 1449 nucleotides. RefSeq lists it as uncharacterized. Lineage: Eukaryota; Metazoa; Chordata; Mammalia; Carnivora; Felidae. The record is from RefSeq and is a predicted model, not a curated record. The transcript has 3 exons.
UCGUCGCUAUAGCAAUGGGGAGCCGCCACCUGUCCCGCAGGGGGACUCGCGCACCUGAGGCUUGUGGCGGGAGCGGGGAGGAGCCCGAGGCCCCGAGGGCUCCGCGCCGUCUCGUCGGCUGCCUGCGAGCUAGAAGGGCGCUUCAGGAGCCAGGGAGGACAAGAGGGUCAGGUUAUGAGGGGAGCUGUUCCCGCGGGUUCCGCUGCCUGCACUGAGGCUGCGGACCUUCUCGGGGCUCAGAGCCCCCGGGCUUCCUCCUGCGCCUUACCAACCCCGAAGUGCUUUAGUGUGCGCAGUCCGCAGGCACUGCCUAGGAUCUUCGAGCCAGCCCCCUGAAGGAAGCAAAUUGCAGUCUCUCCAGGCCACAGCUUAAGUUUCUGGCAAUGUCUGAGAAGAGAAGAUUCUCUCUCAAACUUUUGGAGGACAGGAAGUCUUUCGAAGAUGCUGGGGUGGCAAUGAAGUCGGGAAGAAUUCUGAGCUUGUCCUCUGCUCCUCUAGGACCGGAUGAACUUCCUCCACAUCUGGGCAGAAGAGGCAGUUCCCUGCUCUGCUCCCCACCAUCCAGUCUGGUUGCAGCCCGUCCCCAGCCCUUCAGAGGAUUCUGUAGGAGAAGAAGCAAGGCUUAUAUCACUGGGCACUGUGACCUGGGGGGCCAGUUCCAUUUCCCUCUGCCCUGUCCACUUCUGCAGGGACUCACAACUGGGUAGUGAUGCAGGAAGAUGACAAGAAAGGAAUAAUGAGAUGGCUCUUGUAAGUGGUAUUACAAAAGCAAUAGCAUAUGUCGUACCCUCACUGGCAGGAGUGAAAUGUCCCUGGGUUCUCUGGGCCUCCAAUAUUCUCUCAGGGCACAAUUUGCUUUCAGGCUGCACUUUCCUUCAGGAUUGCUUCUGACAUUCCAUUUCAUUCAAUUUUCCCCUGCAAAUGUCUGGGGAGAGGACUGGGCUGGGGAACCCAUAGCAUAUAUACCUCGGUUCUGAUCCUGCUUAGGGAUACCUGUGCUGGGGCUCUGUCACACUCAGGGACUUCCCCUCCCCCGCCAAGUCUCCUUCCAUGAGCCUUUGCUUUUUCUCUUGUCUCCUCAGCUUUCCCAUCUAUAAAAUGGGUCCACUGACCCUCCUUGACAGGCAGUAUAGUCUAAUGGAGAACACAUACAGGUCAGAAUUAGCCCACGGACAAAUGUCGGGCCCUACCAUUUUCCAGCCAUCUAUCUAUUUUUGUUGAGUUAUUUCACUUCUCUGAGCUUCCUCAUCUACAAAACAGGUAGGAUCACACACGACCUCAAAUGUGGGCAUGCAUCAGUGUCUAACUAUAUUGGGCUCAAGAGUAAAAGAAAUCCUGUGGUUCAAAUCUCAGCUCUGUUAACUUUCUAGCUAUGUGACUUCAGAUAAGUUAUUCAUUGUCAGCUUCAGUUUUCUCUUCUGACAAAGGAAAUAAAACCUCAAAAUGUUA